GUGCUUGCAAUCUCGCUAAACAGGUUUGUGAAUUGUACUGUGAUCUUCAAUAUGUAUCUUUCGUUGGAAUUGUUGCAUCCUCUUGUUUGGUGUAGAGAAUGUCAAGUGAAAACAAGAGUUACUUCUUUGUCAGAAUCAUAUGAUUUCCAGCUGUUAUCAUUUCCAAAUUGAAAAUAUUAAUAUUAUUUGGCUUCUAGGAUGUUUUCGUUAGAUUUACGACAUAAUCCCAUUUUCACCAAAAUCCGUAGUACUCGAUUAAUUAAUGAUUUGGCUUUUCAAGGUGGUUGAAUAAUUUUAUACUAUUUAUGUGGAUUUACAGUUUGCUUAUCAUGGUAUGCUCUCCCCCUCCCCUAAUUUUAUUUCUUGAAUUUAUCAGGCUUUUGAUGAGG
This 389-nucleotide unclassified non-coding RNA is filed under the name Hevea brasiliensis (rubber tree). Lineage: Eukaryota; Viridiplantae; Streptophyta; Magnoliopsida; Malpighiales; Euphorbiaceae. The record is from RNAcentral.